GGUUAAGCGACUAAGCGUACACGGUGGAUGCCCUGGCAGUCAGAGGCGAUGAAGGACGUGCUAAUCUGCGAAAAGCGUCGGUAAGGUGAUAUGAACCGUUACAGCCGGCGAUGUCCGAAUGGGGAAACCCAGUGUGAUUCGUCACACUAUCGUUAACUGAAUACAUAGGUUAACGAGGCGAACCGGGGGAACUGAAACAUCUAAGUACCCCGAGGAAAAGAAAUCAACCGAGAUUCCCCCAGUAGCGGCGAGCGAACGGGGAGCAGCCCAGAGUCUGAAUCAGCUUGUGUGUUAGUGGAACGGUCUGGAAAGUCCGACGGUACAGGGUGAUAGUCCCGUACACCAAAAUGCACAGGCUGUGAACUCGAAGAGUAGGGCGGGACACGUGGUAUCCUGUCUGAAUAUGGGGGGACCAUCCUCCAAGGCUAAAUACUCCUGACUGACCGAUAGUGAACCAGUACCGUGAGGGAAAGGCGAAAAGAACCCCGGCGAGGGGAGUGAAAAAGAACCUGAAACCGUGUACGUACAAGCAGUGGGAGCACCUUUAUGGUGUGACUGCGUACCUUUUGUAUAAUGGGUCAGCGACUUAUAUUCUGUAGCAAGGUUAACCGUAUAGGGGAGCCGCAGGGAAACCGAGUCUUAACUGGGCGUUAAGUUGCAGGGUAUAGACCCGAAACCCGGUGAUCUAGCCAUGGGCAGGUUGAAGGUUGGGUAACACUAACUGGAGGACCGAACCGACUAAUGUUGAAAAAUUAGCGGAUGACUUGUGGCUGGGGGUGAAAGGCCAAUCAAACCGGGAGAUAGCUGGUUCUCCCCGAAAGCUAUUUAGGUAGCGCCUCGUGAACUCAUCUUCGGGGGUAGAGCACUGUUUCGGCUAGGGGGUCAUCCCGACUUACCAACCCGAUGCAAACUACGAAUACCGAAGAAUGUUAUCACGGGAGACACACGGCGGGUGCUAACGUCCGUCGUGAAGAGGGAAACAACCCAGACCGCCAGCUAAGGUCCCAAAGUCAUGGUUAAGUGGGAAACGAUGUGGGAAGGCACAGACAGCCAGGAUGUUGGCUUAGAAGCAGCCAUCAUUUAAAGAAAGCGUAAUAGCUCACUGGUCGAGUCGGCCUGCGCGGAAGAUGUAACGGGGCUAAACCAUGCACCGAAGCUGCGGCAGCGACGCUUAUGCGUUGUUGGGUAGGGGAGCGUUCUGUAAGCCUGCGAAGGUGGCCUGUGAGGGUUGCUGGAGGUAUCAGAAGUGCGAAUGCUGACAUAAGUAACGAUAAAGCGGGUGAAAAGCCCGCUCGCCGGAAGACCAAGGGUUCCUGUCCAACGUUAAUCGGGGCAGGGUGAGUCGACCCCUAAGGCGAGGCCGAAAGGCGUAGUCGAUGGGAAACAGGUUAAUAUUCCUGUACUUGGUGUUACUGCGAAGGGGGGACGGAGAAGGCUAUGUUAGCCGGGCGACGGUUGUCCCGGUUUAAGCAUGUAGGCUGGUUAUCCAGGCAAAUCCGGAUAAUCAAGGCUGAGGUGUGAUGACGAGGCACUACGGUGCUGAAGUAACAAAUGCCCUGCUUCCAGGAAAAGCCUCUAAGCAUCAGGUAACAUCAAAUCGUACCCCAAACCGACACAGGUGGUCAGGUAGAGAAUACCAAGGCGCUUGAGAGAACUCGGGUGAAGGAACUAGGCAAAAUGGUGCCGUAACUUCGGGAGAAGGCACGCUGGUGUGUAGGUGAAGUCCCUGCGGAUGGAGCUGAGACCAGUCGAAGAUACCAGCUGGCUGCAACUGUUUAUUAAAAACACAGCACUGUGCAAACACGAAAGUGGACGUAUACGGUGUGACGCCUGCCCGGUGCCGGAAGGUUAAUUGAUGGGGUUAUCCGUAAGGAGAAGCUCUUGAUCGAAGCCCCGGUAAACGGCGGCCGUAACUAUAACGGUCCUAAGGUAGCGAAAUUCCUUGUCGGGUAAGUUCCGACCUGCACGAAUGGCGUAAUGAUGGCCAGGCUGUCUCCACCCGAGACUCAGUGAAAUUGAACUCGCUGUGAAGAUGCAGUGUACCCGCGGCAAGACGGAAAGACCCCGUGAACCUUUACUAUAGCUUGACACUGAACAUUGAGCCUUGAUGUGUAGGAUAGGUGGGAGGCUUUGAAGCGUGGACGCCAGUCUGCGUGGAGCCAACCUUGAAAUACCACCCUUUAAUGUUUGAUGUUCUAACGUUGGCCCCUAAUCGGGGUUGCGGACAGUGUCUGGUGGGUAGUUUGACUGGGGCGGUCUCCUCCCAAAGCGUAACGGAGGAGCACGAAGGUUAGCUAAUCCUGGUCGGACAUCAGGAGGUUAGUGCAAUGGCAUAAGCUAGCUUGACUGCGAGCGUGACGGCGCGAGCAGGUGCGAAAGCAGGUCAUAGUGAUCCGGUGGUUCUGAAUGGAAGGGCCAUCGCUCAACGGAUAAAAGGUACUCCGGGGAUAACAGGCUGAUACCGCCCAAGAGUUCAUAUCGACGGCGGUGUUUGGCACCUCGAUGUCGGCUCAUCACAUCCUGGGGCUGAAGUAGGUCCCAAGGGUAUGGCUGUUCGCCAUUUAAAGUGGUACGCGAGCUGGGUUUAGAACGUCGUGAGACAGUUCGGUCCCUAUCUGCCGUGGGCGCUGGAGAAUUGAGGGGGGCUGCUCCUAGUACGAGAGGACCGGAGUGGACGCAUCACUGGUGUUCGGGUUGUCAUGCCAAUGGCACUGCCCGGUAGCUAAAUGCGGAAGAGAUAAGUGCUGAAAGCAUCUAAGCACGAAACUUGCCCCGAGAUGAGUUCUCCCUGAGACUUUAAGUCUCCUGAAGGAACGUUGAAGACGACGACGUUGAUAGGCCGGGUGUGUAAGCGCAGCGAUGCGUUGAGCUAACCGGUACUAAUGAACCGUGAGGCUUAACCUU
This 2904-nucleotide ribosomal RNA is filed under the name Klebsiella quasipneumoniae. RNAcentral describes it as "23S ribosomal RNA". It matches the Rfam family "Bacterial large subunit ribosomal RNA". The record is from RNAcentral. Lineage: Bacteria; Pseudomonadati; Pseudomonadota; Gammaproteobacteria; Enterobacterales; Enterobacteriaceae.